UGAGCACCUUAAGAUUCUGAUACAACCUACUUUAUAUUGUGGCAAUGCUCCAGUCUUAAAUCGUUGUUGAGCUUCUUCAAUGACUAAGGCACGGGAAAUGUUCCACUCUUAAAUCUCUGUGUGGGUCACGAUCCAUCUCCAUAAUCAAUCCCAAUAAAGAUAAAACCACAAUUGCUAAACAAAUCCCAUCCCAAUUCACCAAAACCCAUCCCCGCAAUCCCCAGCAAAUUAACGAAUAGGGAGCAGUUGAGGAAUGAGUUGAUCCAGCAUCCAAUUAGAGAAACACCAAACGGUGGAGACACUAGAGCAACAUGACAUGGGGGAUAUGUUCGUGCACCUCAGCGGAGCAUUGGAACCGAAGAAGAAGCCAGAGAUGGAAUGCGCUGCAUCCCUCUACGAGAACCAGGAGCGUCUUGAUCUCCUCCACCAUUGCUACUAUGGGCCACCACUUGCGACGGAGCGCAAAGCUGUUCACUUGCCACUUGGAUGGUGACACAUUUAAUGGUUAUACUUGAGCAUUUGUUAGUCAUUAGUCUUAUAUUCGAGUCUUAUUGACUCUUGAUUAGUCACUAAUGUUAUACUUGAAUCUUGAUUAGUCAUUCAUGUUAUAAUUGGAUCUUGUUUAAUUAUUAGGGUUACACUUGGGGUUUUUUUA
This is a long non-coding RNA of Glycine soja, 655 nucleotides long. RefSeq lists it as uncharacterized. Lineage: Eukaryota; Viridiplantae; Streptophyta; Magnoliopsida; Fabales; Fabaceae. The transcript has 2 exons. The record is from RefSeq and is a predicted model, not a curated record.